Molecule: ribosomal RNA, 301 nt
Filed under: uncultured bacterium
Lineage: Bacteria
Description: partial 16S ribosomal RNA
Rfam family: Bacterial small subunit ribosomal RNA
Source: RNAcentral
CAGCAGCCGCGGGAAUACAGAGGGUGCGAGCGUUAAUCGGAUUCACUGGGCGUAAAGCGUGCGUAGGCGGCUUUUUAAGUCGGAUGUGAAAUCCCUGAGCUUAACUUAGGAAUUGCAUUCGAUACUGGGAAGCUAGAGUAUGGGAGAGGAUGGUAGAAUUCCAGGUGUAGCGGUGAAAUGCGUAGAGAUCUGGAGGAAUACCGAUGGCGAAGGCAGCCAUCUGGCCUAAUACUGACGCUGAGGUACGAAAGCAUGGGGAGCAAACAGGAUUAGAUACCCCUGUAGUCCCUGUCUCUUAUAC